UGGAAUUCUGCUAUUCUGAAAAAUGAGGUGCCACAAUUUGCAGAUCCAUCCAUAUGAAGUAGCAAGUGAUCCAAAAGGUACAUGUUUGGAACAGACUCUACUUCCUUUUUCUUGUUGAAUGAGCGAGCACAGAUAGAUUAUUCUUCCACUUCUGCCUUGUAUCAUCCCUGGUUAAGCUAACAAUGCCUUAGACCUACUUGUGUGCUCAUUUACCCACCAUACUGACUUUCUGUAUCAUCUGUUUCUCUUAACUAGUGGACAAGGCUUUCUAAUAGAGACAUCAUGAACAAUAGAUCUAAUAUAGACAGGAUUCUGGUUGCUCUUUGUUUAUGCUUGUGAUGUGAAGUAGACAAAAAUGGCCAAAUGAAUGUCCUGUGCUGCCUUGGUCAGUAGACAGAUGAUAAGUCUAAACUUCCCAGAUCAAUGCCACAAUUUUUACUUUGUUAAUUUCCUUUAGACCUUCAGAAAGCUCCUUUUUCUAAAAUGUCUCCAAUAAGAUAUUGUUUUCAUGAGCAGUGCACAAACCUAUUUUGCUCUUUUAAGUAGCCUAAGCACCAUCAUUUCCACUUGUAAGCUUGCUUUGUUUGUGCAGAUGCUUGAGUCAAGCUUGUUGUUCUCUCAACAUCAUAUCAUGAGUUAUUAAGCUUCUCUUCUACUGCUAAUAACGAUGCUGUUAUUCAUAUGUUUCUUGCAUAUUCUUUCAUUGAGCUUCAUCUUCUCCAAAAAAUCGUGUAAACUGUGUAUUCAGUUAUAUUUUUUGAUUGCAUGUUGUUCAUAGCUGAAGGCUCUGAGCAUGUUGUAGCUACUGUGUUAGGGCUUUGUGAUACAACCAGAUUCGCCAUAGACUCUCACUGUCAUCUAUCUAGAAAAUUAUACAAUCUGAAGAAUGAGUUUUUAUCUGAACACAUCAACAUCUUUUUGCUUGCAGUAUAUGACUGGCACAUGGCGCAGCAGGGAAUCCAGAUCUCCCAGGGCUGAGGUGUUCACGCCAUUAUUGCAAAUGCUUCAGAGGAAUCUUAAAUCCAAGAAUGAAAGAGGACGGCCAGUCUCUCAUGUUUCACAGUGACUCAUGUUCUCGUCUGUUGCUCACAUGCAGAACUUGCAGAACCCUGGAACUGGUACUAUUUCAAAGGCAUUCGUGAUAGUUCUGUCGUCUUAAAGCCUGUUUUGCACCAGAUUUGCCUUGAGCUUUUGAGAAGAGAAUCGGAUCUGUUCAAUCCAUUACUACAAAGAAAACUUCA
Molecule: long non-coding RNA, 1241 nt
Filed under: Musa acuminata (dwarf banana)
Lineage: Eukaryota; Viridiplantae; Streptophyta; Magnoliopsida; Zingiberales; Musaceae
Description: long non-coding RNA (MACU_LNC002150)
Source: RNAcentral